Molecule: long non-coding RNA, 1011 nt
Organism: Gadus chalcogrammus (walleye pollock)
Lineage: Eukaryota; Metazoa; Chordata; Actinopteri; Gadiformes; Gadidae
Exons: 3
Source: RefSeq, a predicted model, not a curated record
CGGAAGGGGUGUAACUUCGCCACUAUACGCAAAUGUUUGCUUAAAGAUAGGACUACUCUGUUUAAGAGUCUAUCCAAGAUCUGAGAGAGCUUCUCAUGAUGACCCCUUUGGCUGAAGUGACCUGCUGCAGCUCUCACUUUGCGGCUGGACUGCUGGACGCGGUUGGGGUCGGAGAGCCGCCCUUCGCUCGAUUGCUAACGGAAUCACUUCGCGUAAGCAAACUACACAACCUGGCGGAAGCAAGCACCGCCUAGGGGCAAUCCGGAGCGCGCGUGCUCCCUUCCUUUUCUCCGGAAAAUUCAGCUUUAAAUAUCACAGAAGUCAGCCCACACGCUGUCCUAAACAACUGGGAGAGUUAAGCCAGCUCGCCCACCCGCUUUCAUCUGCUGGAAAAGCAACCUCUCACAAAGGUGUUCGGGCAAAGCAUUCCCCUGGGGCAGGGGCAGUUUAGAAUAUCGUUAGCCUCACAGCAUAAUUGCAUAAGUCAUAUCUUAAAGUUCAUCUUCUAUUAAGCGUCAAAAAUGCCUUAGUUAAAUAUGACUUUGGCAGAUAUUGAUUAUGGAAUGUAAAAAUCACUCUGAAUGGCUUAGGAUGUAGCCAUACAGAAAAAUGUCACCUAGACAACUAUGCUAUGAGACAAAUUAUAAUGCAUUCUGUCUUGUUUAUCGAUCCUCUUUGCCAUGAGAAUAAGUUUGGUUCUUUAUUUUGUUAAUUUGUCUCAUUUAUGUGAAUGUAUUUAUUUUGUUGAGUUGAUUUGCAUGUCUAAAGGUAAAGUCCAGGUCAUUUCCUUUGUAUUCCAUAUAUAAAUCUGGCCCGUCUACCAUGCUGGGGUUGUGUUGUUGCUAGCAGCCUUGAGGCUAACAUGCUGUUAUCCGGGGUGAUUGAUUUACUGACAUGUCUUUAGGAAUAAAUCUGCUGGAUUCUUCUACCCAAACAACUCAUCCUCAUUAAACCCUCCAGCGACAUUGUUCGGCUAACUCUCUCUCACACACACUCACACUCUCACACACA